RNAcentral lists this ribosomal RNA (253 nucleotides) under uncultured bacterium. Its description in RNAcentral is "partial 16S ribosomal RNA". It matches the Rfam family "Bacterial small subunit ribosomal RNA", at positions 524 to 776 of the family's 1533-position model. The record is from RNAcentral.
UACGUAGGGGGCGAGCGUUGUCCGAAGUUACUGGGCGUAAAGCGCACGUAGGCGGCUUUGUAAGUUAGAGGUGAAAGCCCGGGGCUCAACUCCGGAAUUGCCUUUAAGACUGCAUCGCUAGAAUUGUGGAGAGGUAAGUGGAAUUCCGAGUGUAGAGGUGAAAUUCGUAGAUAUUCGGAAGAACACCAGUGGCGAAGGCGACUUACUGGACACAUAUUGACGCUGAGGUGCGAAAGCGUGGGGAGCAAACAGG